UCCCAGAAAAACUCUCCUCGUUUCCUUCGUAUCCUAUAUGAUUACUCGAACCGACGCAUGGCCGGCAAACCCUAGCGAGGGACGGAGGCAGCACAAGCCGGUGAUUAACGGCCGGCGGUGGGCAGGUAGAGGCAGAUUGGAGGAGUGCGCUAGGGGCCGCGGCGCCCUGGCGGCUGGCAACACGCGCACUGUAGACCACAUAGGAGCUCACUCUCAUCUUCUCCGAUUAAAAAUUGUUGCAAAACGAAAAAGGCACGGAUACAUUGUAUCUCUUUUUAUGCAAUACGCAACAAAGAAGAGGGUUGAUCCUCCGUUUUCAUAACCUUCUCCGACACCGGUCGCAGCCAUGGCAGAAGAGCCAAGAUGAUACAAUAGAUACUUUCAUGGCAUUGAAAAGGCGUGAUUCCGGCAAAUAAGGUGUGUUAUUUUCUUAUGCAAAUUCAGAAAUUAAACUGUGAAUUUUCAUAUUCUUUGUAAGACCUCAUUGAUGUAAGUUUUGAUAAAUUCCGUAUGAUAUGUUGGUAUGCUUUGUUUGUGGUGUAUUUUUUCUA
Molecule: long non-coding RNA, 551 nt
Organism: Triticum aestivum (bread wheat)
Lineage: Eukaryota; Viridiplantae; Streptophyta; Magnoliopsida; Poales; Poaceae
Exons: 2
Source: RefSeq, a predicted model, not a curated record